UACAUGGGGGGCAAGCGUUGUUCGGAAUUACUGGGCGUAAAGGGUUCGUAGGUGGCCAACUAAGUCAGACGUGAAAUCCCUCAGCUUAACUGGGGAACUGCGUCUGAAACUGGUUGGCUUGAGUGCAGGAGAGGAAUGCGGAAUUCCAGGUGUAGCGGUGAAAUGCGUAGAUAUCUGGAGGAACACCGGUGGCGAAGGCGGCAUUCUGGACUGUAACUGACGCUGAGGAGCGAAAGCCAGGGGAGCAAACGGG
Molecule: ribosomal RNA, 253 nt
Filed under: uncultured bacterium
Lineage: Bacteria
Description: partial 16S ribosomal RNA
Rfam family: Bacterial small subunit ribosomal RNA
Source: RNAcentral